This 252-nucleotide long non-coding RNA is filed under the name Homo sapiens (human). Its description in RNAcentral is "long non-coding RNA NONHSAT022788". Lineage: Eukaryota; Metazoa; Chordata; Mammalia; Primates; Hominidae. The record is from RNAcentral.
GCUCCCACCCAGCUCAUUUGGCCCCCAGGUGGUGUAAGGCAGCUGGCAGUCAGCCCACAGCUACUCACGGUCUCAGGGGCCCCGCUCCACGGCCUCUGGCUCCGGACCUCCUUGUAGAGCCGCAAGCAGCUGCUGUUGAGGAUGAAGUAGCGAUCGUGGAAGCCACCUGAGGGCAGGCCCAGGCCCAGGAGGCUGCGGUCCUCACGGAACUUCAUCAUGCCAUGCUUGGUGUCACCGACACGGCUGGCUGGG